CAGCCGCCGCGGUAAUACAGAGGGUGCGAGCGUUAAUCGGAUUUACUGGGCGUAAAGCGUGCGUAGGCGGCUAAUUGAGUCGGAUGUGAAAUCCCCGAGCUUAACUUAGGAAUUGCAUUCGAUACUGGGAAGCUAGAGUAUGGGAGAGGAUGGUAGAAUUCCAGGUGUAGCGGCGAAAUGCGUAGAGAUCUGGAGGAAUACCGAUGGCGAAGGCAGCCAUCUGGCCUAAUACUGACGCUGAGGUACGAAAGCAUGGGGAGCAAACAGGAUUAGAUACCCCAGUAGUCCCUGUCUCUUAUAC
This 301-nucleotide ribosomal RNA is filed under the name uncultured bacterium. RNAcentral describes it as "partial 16S ribosomal RNA". It matches the Rfam family "Bacterial small subunit ribosomal RNA", at positions 509 to 807 of the family's 1533-position model. The record is from RNAcentral.